RNAcentral lists this long non-coding RNA (219 nucleotides) under Lathyrus oleraceus (garden pea). RNAcentral describes it as "Pisum sativum (pea) long non-coding RNA (PSAT_LNC037354)". The record is from RNAcentral. Lineage: Eukaryota; Viridiplantae; Streptophyta; Magnoliopsida; Fabales; Fabaceae.
ACAACUCUAGCUCAAACACCAAGUUGCACAAAAAUCAAUCAAUAAAAGAUUAAAAUUGAUUAAAAAGGGAAAUUAAAGAGAAAAUUUAAAUCAAGGACCAAAACAUAAAAUAAAUGGUUGAGAAAAUUAGAGAAAGUCAAGAAAAAUACAAGUAAAUGGAUCUUCAAAGUUGGAUGUAAAAAUAUUUGAAAAUGGUUGAAAAAUAAAAUUGAAAAUGAA